Molecule: non-coding RNA, 103 nt
Organism: Acanthosepion pharaonis
Lineage: Eukaryota; Metazoa; Mollusca; Cephalopoda; Sepiida; Sepiidae
Source: the annotation of a GenBank genome assembly
CGGUCAUUACUCAUUUAAACGCCGGUUCUCUUACGAUCACCAAAGUUAAGCAAAGUCGAAUCUGGUCAGUAUCUAGAUGAGUGACCACUUGGGAAUACCAGGU